Molecule: signal recognition particle RNA, 174 nt
Filed under: Eubacterium pyruvativorans
Lineage: Bacteria; Bacillati; Bacillota; Clostridia; Eubacteriales; Eubacteriaceae
Also listed under: 1 other name
Description: signal recognition particle sRNA large type
Rfam family: Bacterial small signal recognition particle RNA (bases 43-142)
About the family: The signal recognition particle (SRP) is a universally conserved ribonucleoprotein involved in the co-translational targeting of proteins to membranes. Archaeal SRP consists of a 7S RNA and homologues of the eukaryotic SRP19 and SRP54 proteins.
Source: RNAcentral
AAUAAUUGAGCAAUUUGCCCUCGGGCAGCUCCGUAUGGCAUGGUCUGGGUCCUGCGCAAUAGGAUGCCGUGAACCUUGUCAGGUCCGGAAGGAAGCAGCAAUAAGCGGAAGUUUCUAUGUGCCGCAGAUCAGCCUUUUCCUACGUCACGCGGAGCUGCCCGGGGGCAGAUUUUU